GACGAACGCUGGCGGCGUGCUUAACACAUGCAAGUCGAACGGAAAGGCUCCAGCUUGCUGGAGUACUCGAGUGGCGAACGGGUGAGUAACACGUGGGUAAUCUGCCCUGCACUCUGGGAUAAGCCUGGGAAACUGGGUCUACUACUGGAUAUGACCUUUCUCCUUAUGGGGUUUGGUGGAAAGUUUUUCGGUGUAGGAUGAGCCCGCGGCCUAUCAGCUUGUUGGUGGGGUGAUGGCCUACCAAGGCGACGACGGGUAGCCGGCCUGAGAGGGUGAUCGGCCACAUUGGGACUGAGGUACGGCCCAGACUCCUACGGGAGGCAGCAGUGGGGAAUAUUGCACAAUGGGCGGAAGCCUGAUGCAGCGACGCCGCGUGAGGGAUGACGGCCUUCGGGGUGUAAACCUCUUUCAGCAGGGACGAAGCGUAAGUGACGGUACCUGCAGAAGAAGCACCGGCUAACUAUGUG
RNAcentral lists this ribosomal RNA (467 nucleotides) under uncultured bacterium. RNAcentral's name for it is "partial 16S ribosomal RNA". It matches the Rfam family "Bacterial small subunit ribosomal RNA", at positions 28 to 507 of the family's 1533-position model. The record is from RNAcentral.